UACGUAGGGUGCGAGCGUUGUCCGGAAUUAUUGGGCGUAAAGAGCUCGUAGGCGGUCUGUCGCGUCGGUCGUGAAAACUUGGGGCUUAACCCUGAGCUUGCGGUCGAUACGGGCAUGACUGGAGUUCGGCAGGGGAGACUGGAAUUCCUGGUGUAGCGGUGAAAUGCGCAGAUAUCGGGAAGAACACCCGUGGCGAAGGCGGCUCUCUGGGACGGUACUGACGCUGAGACGCGAAAGCGUGGGGAGCGAACAGG
This 254-nucleotide ribosomal RNA is filed under the name uncultured bacterium. Its description in RNAcentral is "partial 16S ribosomal RNA". It matches the Rfam family "Bacterial small subunit ribosomal RNA", at positions 524 to 776 of the family's 1533-position model. The record is from RNAcentral.